AGUGAACGCUGGCGGUAGGCCUAACACAUGCAAGUCGAACGGCAGCACAGUAAGAGCUUGCUCUUACGGGUGGCGAGUGGCGGACGGGUGAGGAAUACAUCGGAAUCUACUUUUUCGUGGGGGAUAACGUAGGGAAACUUACGCUAAUACCGCAUACGACCUACGGGUGAAAGCAGGGGAUCUUCGGACCUUGCGCGAUUGAAUGAGCCGAUGUCGGAUUAGCUAGUUGGCGGGGUAAAGGCCCACCAAGGCGACAAUCCGUAGCUGGUCUGAGAGGAUGAUCAGCCACACUGGAACUGAGACACGGUCCAGACUCCGACGGGAGGCAGCAGUGGGGAAUACUGGACAAUGGGCGCAAGCCUGAUCCAGCCAUACCGCGUGGGUGAAGAAGGCCUUCGGGUUGUAAAGCCCUUUUGUUGGGAAAGAAAAGCAGCAGGUUAAUACCCCGCUGUUCUGACGGUACCCAAAGAAUAAGCACCGGCUAACUUCGUG
Molecule: ribosomal RNA, 492 nt
Filed under: uncultured bacterium
Lineage: Bacteria
Description: partial 16S ribosomal RNA
Rfam family: Bacterial small subunit ribosomal RNA
Source: RNAcentral